This 301-nucleotide ribosomal RNA is filed under the name uncultured bacterium. RNAcentral describes it as "partial 16S ribosomal RNA". It matches the Rfam family "Bacterial small subunit ribosomal RNA", at positions 509 to 807 of the family's 1533-position model. The record is from RNAcentral.
CAGCAGCCGCGGUAACACGGAGGGCGCGAGCGUUACCCGGAUUUACUGGGCGUAAAGGGCGUGUAGGCGGCCUGGGGCGUCCCAUGUGAAAGGCCACGGCUCAACCGUGGAGGAGCGUGGGAUACGCUCAGGCUAGAGGGUGGGAGAGGGUGGUGGAAUUCCCGGAGUAGCGGCGAAAUGCGCAGAUACCGGGAGGAACGCCGAUGGCGAAGGCAGCCACCUGGUCCACUUCUGACGCUGAGGCGCGAAAGCGUGGGGAGCAAACCGGAUUAGAUACCCGGGUAGUCCCUGUCUCUUAUAC